GGCGUAAGCGCGCGCAGGCGGCCUUUUAAGUCUGAUGUGAAAGCCCACGGCUCAACCGUGGAGGGUCAUUGGAAACUGGAAGGCUUGAGUGCAGAAGAGAAGAGCGGAAUUCCACGUGUAGCGGUGAAAUGCGUAGAGAUGUGGAGGAACACCAGUGGCGAAGGCGGCUCUUUGGUCUGUAACUGACGCUGAGGCGCGAAAGCGUGGGGAGCGAACAGGAUUAGAUACCCUGGUAGUCCACGCCGUAAACGAUGAGUGCUAAGUGUUGGGGGGUUUCCGCCCCUCAGUGCUGCAGCUAACGCAUUAAGCACUCCGCCUGGGGAGUACGGCCGCAAGGCUGAAACUCAAAGGAAUUGACGGGGGCCCGCACAAGCGGUGGAGCAUGUGGUUUAAUUCGAAGCAACGCGAAGAACCUUACCAGGUCUUGACAUCCCGCUGACCGGUCUGGAGACAGAUCUUCCCCUUCGGGGGCAGCGGUGACAGGUGGUGCAUGGUUGUCGUCAGCUCGUGUCGUGAGAUGUUGGGUUAAGUCCCGCAACGAGCGCAACCCUUGAUCUUAGUUGCCAGCAUUUAGUUGGGCACUCUAAGGUGACUGCCGGUGACAAACCGGAGGAAGGUGGGGAUGACGUCAAAUCAUCAUGCCCCUUAUGACCUGGGCUACACACGUGCUACAAUGGAUGGUACAAAGGGCUGCAAGACCGCGAGGUUUAGCCAAUCCCAUAAAACCAUUCUCAGUUCGGAUUGCAGGCUGCAACUCGCCUGCAUGAAGCUGGAAUCGCUAGUAAUCGCGGAU
This 793-nucleotide ribosomal RNA is filed under the name Pseudobacillus badius. Its description in RNAcentral is "bacterial SSU rRNA". It matches the Rfam family "Bacterial small subunit ribosomal RNA", at positions 557 to 1349 of the family's 1533-position model. The record is from RNAcentral. Lineage: Bacteria; Bacillati; Bacillota; Bacilli; Caryophanales; Bacillaceae.